UUACUGCUAUCGAGGUCCGACUAAGCCAUGCGAGUCGAAUGUAGCAAUACAUGGCAUACUGCUCAGUAACACGUGGACAACCUACCCUCGGCACGGGGAUAAACCCGGGAAACUGGGUAUAAUACCCGAUAGUUCUGGUUAGCUGGAAUGCUUCCAGGACGAAAGCUCCGGCGGCCGAGGAUGGGUCUGCGGCCUAUCAGGUAGUAGUGGGUGUAACGUACCUACUAGCCUACGACGGGUACGGGUUGUGAGAGCAAGAGCCCGGAGAUGGAUUCUGAGACACGAAUCCAGGCCCUACGGGGUGCAGCAGGCGCGAAAACUUUACAAUGCUGGCAACAGCGAUAAGGGGACCUCGAGUGCCAGGAUACAAUCUUGGCUGUCGUGAUGCCUAAAAAGCAUUGCAUAGCAAGGGCCGGGCAAGACCGGUGCCAGCCGCCGCGGUAACACCGGCGGCUCGAGUGGUAACCGCUAUUAUUGGGUCUAAAGGGUCUGUAGCCGGCC
Molecule: ribosomal RNA, 501 nt
Filed under: uncultured archaeon
Lineage: Archaea
Description: bacterial SSU rRNA
Rfam family: Archaeal small subunit ribosomal RNA
Source: RNAcentral